This 1483-nucleotide long non-coding RNA is filed under the name Monodelphis domestica (gray short-tailed opossum). RNAcentral's name for it is "lncRNA (ENSMODG00000038435.1)". Lineage: Eukaryota; Metazoa; Chordata; Mammalia; Didelphimorphia; Didelphidae. The record is from RNAcentral.
UGCCAGCCUGGCUUGCUGAAGAAGAAAUUCUUUUCCCGCGUUUUUUCAGAUCUAGAAAGCAGGCAGGCAGACGGACCUACUUACUGCCUAAGGAAGGGAGCUUCAAAUGGGGGGCUGAGCUCCAAGGAGUGAUGUCACAGGCAACGAGGCUGCCUCUGCAAGCCUCCUGCCGAAUAGCCUGCCAGCCUCCAGCAAAGCGGCGACUCUAUUGAUGUCCUGAAGGAUUUGUUAUUACUAGCAGUUUAAGCGGCGACCAGGGAGAUAGAGCGCAAGGACCACGGGCGGCACCUGGCACGGAGGUCCCAAGCCUGCAACUCUGCUCAAAGCAAUGCUCCAGCUAAUUAAAUCAGCAUCACUUGGCAGAAGCCACACCCCCCCGCCUGAAAUGCAGAGAGAAAGGGCAUCAGCUGUAAGUCCAAGAGAAUUUUGGCUACUCCAGAAGGAGAGAAACUUGGCAUGACAGAAUCCUUGUUGAUAAUAGCCUCUCUUGCAAAGCUCUGAAGGUUUCCUGGACCAACAUCAAUGGGAGUUUGCUUCACUCUCCAUUUAAAGAAGCAUUAGACCACCUCACCACAGUGUAUUCAAUUCAACUCAACUAACAUUAAUCAAAUUGGGCUUGGAAUCAGGAAGACUCAUCUUCAUGAGUUCAAAUCUCACCUUAGACGCUUGCUAGCUGUGUGACCAUGGGCAAAUUGCCAAACACUGUUUGCCUCAGUUUCUCAUCUGUCAACUGAGCUGAAGAAGAAAAUGGCAAGCUACUCCGGUGUCUUUGCUCAGGAAAACCCCAAAUGGGGUCAUAAAGAGUCAGCAGUGACUGAAAUGACAAAAACAAAUGUCAAAUAACAAGGAAGAUACAGAAAUGUACUCUUCUUUUUCUAAGACCUUCCAAUAAUAACAUUAAAGAUUGUUUUUUAAUAGAAUUUACAUAUAUCAACAGGUUAAUGCUAUAUGUAUAUUCCCAUGUUUUAGAUACACUCAGACUUAUAGAGGAGAGAUGCCUCACUCAUUGUUAUAGAGAUUUCAAUUUAAUGGAAGAGAUGACAUGCAGACAAAUGACUCUAAUAUGAAAAGCUUAAAAGGAAACAUAGGCCCAUUAAUUUAGAAAGGUAAGGAAGUCUACAGAUUAUCUAGUUACAGGUCUAAUUUUCAUUGAGGUGAAAUAGGUUAUCCAAAAUCAUAGGAAAGGAUUGUUUUAGAGCCAGGAAUCAAAUUCAGGUCUCUGAUUCAUAUUAUUUAAGUUUUAGAAGCAUAAAUUGCCCUAUAAAGUAUUAUGGUGAUGAUGAUGAUACACAUUUAAUCUUUAAACUCCAGUUUUUUGUUGCUAAUGAGAGGUCAUAGGUUUUAUGCAAUCCUACUGAAAUUUAUCAAGUAUCUGUUAUAGUCAAAAUACAGAGUAAGGUGCUGGUGGAUUAAAAAAAAAAGAGCAAAACAACACUCAAGGAAACAAAACGUUAAAUAAAAGAAAUAAACCCUGUCUUUAGCA